GAGAGAGAAAGAGAGUGAGGAAUAGGAGGCCGGCGCACGGCAUGGCGGGACUUGUAGUCCGGCGGGAAGGGGCUGGGGAGGCCACGCCCUCCCCCGGGGGGGGCGCGGCGGCGCGGACAGGUGAGGUCCGGCGAGCUGCGUUUAUUUCGAAAGCAGAACGGAGAAGGGGAGAAAAAUGAAACGGCCACCAAAGAGAACAGAUAAAGCCGUGCAAUCCGAGCCACCCUCAGAUGCAGGUUAUGGCGAAUUAAUGAAGCUAUACAGAUGCUGUAUAAAGAGGACCGAUAAUCUACUGAGCCAUGGAAAAGUGACAUGUGGUUUGCGGGAAUAUACGUUUUGAUUUAUUAUUAUGACAGUAUGAUUAUUUUCCUUAGGAUAAAGUUGUUGCUGCAAUAAAGAUAUUACUGUUCUUUA
Long non-coding RNA from Crotalus tigris (Tiger rattlesnake), 414 nucleotides. RefSeq lists it as uncharacterized. NCBI's taxonomy places the organism in Eukaryota, Metazoa, Chordata, Lepidosauria, Squamata, Viperidae. The transcript has 2 exons. The record is from RefSeq and is a predicted model, not a curated record.